Molecule: long non-coding RNA, 6705 nt
Organism: Ailuropoda melanoleuca (giant panda)
Lineage: Eukaryota; Metazoa; Chordata; Mammalia; Carnivora; Ursidae
Exons: 6
Source: RefSeq, a predicted model, not a curated record
GAACAAGAAUUUGAGGAAUUCUGGUCUUUCCUUUCCUUUGACAUGUACUAAAACACUUCAUCGUGAAAGAUUUGACAUGCUGAUUCUUUCAAACAAUAUUUAUUUCAUAAAAGAAAGGGUGCUACUCAUAUAAAAAUAUAAUUAGUAAUGAAUGUAUAUAUGAAGAGUUCCAAAUAAGUUCUAUCAACACGCUGAGACGGGAUAACUAUUCUGAAGGCAGAUUAGAAUGUGAAUAAAUAGAAGGGAAAAUGACAUUCCCAAAAGGAUGGAAGAGAUUGAAGCUUUAUGCUUUAGCCUUGCGUGUUACUUCCAGUUUGGCCAGUUCCUUAUGUCUCCCCAUUUCUCACCCAUGCAUUUGGCUUUGUUUUUUUUAUUAGGUGACUAUGUUUUGCUUUUUUUUGUUGUUGUUGUUCAUAGACACAGACCCAUGGUUAGGUUUGAAAAUUUUCAGGCUCUGCUAGUUAGGUUCUCAACUCCUUCCAUUCCCUUUUAUGGAUGAAAAUAUGGGUCAUGUCUUAUUGUUGCUUCAGGCCUAGAUCCUACAGAGGACAGGGAAUAUGUGGAGUUAACCUGGGGAGCUAACAUCGUUUCCCAGGGUUAGUCUCUUGUGUUUGUAGGGUCAGUGCUCUGAAACAUCCCUAGUAGGUAUUGAAUUCCUACAAGGAUAUCAAUGAACUAGAUGUAAUGUAAACAGAGCUGGAAGGACUAUAGAGAAAAUUUCUGAGUAUGGGGUCCCCCAAGGCAAGGAAAGAACUUGAAAGAAAAAGUUCUUUAAGAGAAUUUUCCUAUUUUCUGUUAGAGUGAUCAUUAUGGAAAGUCUGAGUUGAAUGAAUGAGCUUAGAGACUACUUAGCAAACAGUUUCAAAGUAAAAAAUAAAUAAGGCAGAAUUUCAAAAUGCAUAUAAUUGGAUAUUGUGUGAUAAUUCAGUGAUACAAUUAAGCUUGUGAUCUGUCAAUUAUAAAGUAUUUCUUGUCAUAAUUUAUUUUAAAAAGAUGACUUUCUGGUUCUUCGUAAAGAAAUAUAAUUUAGGAGAUGGCAGCAAGCAACAGAUAAGUGGAAGACUCAGGUGCCCAUGUGAAAAACUAUAAGCAAGAGGGGAAAAGAAAAAUCAUGUUAAUUUGACUUCAAUUGUUUAAUGAGAGUCAUACUAUUUUUGUCUCCUGGGGAAAUACUGUCAGUAACUUAGCUGAGCUAGGGAAAGUGGCUAGGAAAUAAAACCAGAAACCAACAGGAUAGAGACGAACAAAUGCUUGUUUUGUAAUUAGUGAAAAGAAAUUUGUUUUUAGAAAGUGUAGAUGAGUCCAACCAUGCUGAUCUGGACUCUGAAAGAAGGAUCUAGAACAUUUAUUUAUUCAUUUAUCAGACAUUGGUUUUAGCAUUUUGUUUUGGGUCAGUCACCGUGUGGUGAUACAAAGAUGAAUAAAUGGGUUCCCUUCCAUCCUGGAGCUUAUAGUCCCUUAGAAAAGAUACAUACGAGCAAAUAAAUACAAUUUAAUAUAGCAUGUUCUAGAAUACAGUUAUAUAGAACCAAAAUGGAACGAUAAGAUUGAUGGGGAAGUUUGCUAACUCUGCCAAAAGAUUGAAGAGAGUAGUUGUUGGUUUGUUUGCUUGUAUCGUAAAUUGAUUUGUAAUCGUAAAUUUGUUUGUUUGAUUGUAAAUUCGUUUUCAAUAGAGGCAACUCUUGAGCUGAGUAGACAAUUGUAGGAGGGCCUAUCAGGUAAAGGUGAGAGCUUGAGUGAAGGCAACAGAGUGAAAGAAUAUGUGUUUGGAAAACGAUGCAAAGUCCACUGAAGAAAAGAAGGAAAAGAGAUGACCCAGAUAAUAUAAUUUGACAUUUGAAUUGCUAAGGAUCAUUCUAAGGUGCUUAAUUUUUAUUUUGGAGGUGAUAGAGGAGAAUUGACAAAAAUUAAGCAAUGAGACUUAUGAUUAGAUUUGUGAUCUAGAAAAAGAGAUUUUUGACGGUAAUAUGAAUGUUGGAUUGAAAGACAAGGAAGAGAUUGGCCUGGAGGAGAAGUAAUUAGUUAGGGGCUGUCAUGAAUGUCUGGUUGAGAGAUAAUAAGGGACUAAAAUAUUUUGUAAAAUUGGGGCAGGAGAGAAAUAAACAAAUUAGAGGGGUUUUUAUGUAUAAUUGUGACCAAUAUUAUUUGCAGGUAAAAGAAUUAAACAAUUUGAAUACUAGUCCUCAGUGUCUGGUUUGAACGUCUUAUGAAAGUUGGGAACAGGCUUUCAAAUCCUAAGCAAAUUUAUCUGCAAAGUUGGACAUAGAUGGUGGAGAGAAAAUGAAUUGGCAAACAGAAUCAGAAGCCUUUACUAAUCAGCUGAGUACCUUGAGUAAUUUACUCAUUUACACUUGACUCAUUUUCCUCAUUUAUAAAAUACAGUGGUUGAAACACAGCCUCUCAUCUGUAAAAUCAUGACUACUGGUGCGUAUUAGUUUUGUAUUGUCAUACAACUUGAUCCUUGCAAAGUUAGGUUACUGUAUCUGCAACAUUUCUUUUUGAAAAUAUAGCAGAACCAUCAUGAAAAGAACAUAAUAGAGGAGUGAAGGAAAAAGGAAAGUGAAAAUACACAGGAUAAUUAAGAAAAGUUUAUAUGGAACUCAUUUUGAAAAAAAAAAAAAUCAACCCGACACAGUAUAACGAUGCUGUUGCCCAUACGGGAAAAUAAGACGAGGCAGACAGCAGCAGUCUCAGGUAAAGUUCUUAAUUUAAAAAGCAAAACAAAACAAAUAAGAUCUAAGAGACUGAGCCCAAAAAAUAAAUUAAAAAAUUUAAAAGAUCAAUGGCAAAAUUUGACCGGAAGUCCUAAAGACAGACCGCAACAAGUUGUGGCUUAUGACAUAUUGGCCCUUGAUUUCGCUCUUCGUAGAUACAUAUGCUCUCUGCAAUCCCUCUUACUAGUUGUAGAGUGUACUUCCCCACUCCCUGACUUUGAGGUCAACCAGUGACUUGAAAUACGCUGGGUUGCUGGGCUUAGUCUCUCACACCUCUGACAUCUCCGUGAGAAGAGCUUCUGGAGUAGCUGCUGCCUCUGCCACCUGGACCCUAGGAGAGCAAAGAGACGAGGACACAGGCUCACGGUGUGGGGCAGAGCCACGUUGGUGUCAGCCUCAACUGGACAACCUGGACGACCAAGCCAAACACAGCACAGACUGGCUGUCUUCGUAUGAUUGACACUAAAUCCAACAGUGGGCAGAGAUCUUGAAUCCCCUGCGAUCCCUACAACCAAUCCGUAUUUUCGCUUUGCUGAAAAGGAGACAUGGAUGAUGACACAACACUGACGACCUCAGUAGAUUCCCAGUCUUCAGAUGUUAUCACUUUGAACCUUACUGGAAAGUCACAAGGACCCUCAAAAGGGAAUAAAGACAGACUUUGUAUCUCUAAAAUAUCACCACUGUCGUCUUCUUCCUGGUGACUUUGAUAACUACACUGGCCACAAUUUUAGCAGUCAAAAAACACAAAUCUUCCACUGAACGUAUGUCGUGCUUGAAUGGCUGGAUUGGCUACCUGGGAAAGUGCUUCUAUUUUUCUGAAAAUACAAGAACCUGGGCAGCAAGCCAGAACUUCUGUGCCCCUCAUGCAGCCACUCUUGCUGUCUUCAACACCACAAAAGAACUGGAUUUCCUGAAACAAUAUUCUAACCAUUCUCAGUAUUGGAUUGGAUUGAGUUGAGGACCAGGACAGACCUGGAAGUGGAUAGAUGGAACCAUAUACGGUGGUUGGUUUAAAAUAAUUGGAAUUGGAGAAUGCGCCUAUCUACACAAAAUUGGAAUUAGCAGUGCCAGUUCGCACUUGGUUAGAAAAUGGAUUUGCAGCAAACCAGACCCAUGUAUACCCAGAAGUUAAGACAUCAUAGAUCUAAGAUAUUUUACACAAAAUGUAGUUUUUAUUCCUUCUAAAAGGAAUAUAUUAUAUUAAUAUAAAAGUACAUAAAAUUCAUGUUUAGAAAUUUUCAUUGGUGUUUUUUUUUCCCAAAUCUCUAAAUCCACUUUUAUACAUUGACUAGAUCCUUAGUAUUCAAGAAAUAUAUGCCCAACAUUUGUCCCCAAACCUCUUAUAGAAUAAAAUUUCUGAUAAGUUAAAAUAUGAAUGAAAAAUUUAAAUGGCAUUUUAAGAUAUUUACUCAUAUGAAUUCAGACUAAUGUCAUUUAAAAUUUCUUGUUUUUUUAAGAACUCUAAUAAUAUUUUUGCCCCGUCUCCUUACUUUUAUUAUCAAUACUAGUUGUUGAUUUUCUUUCAGUUUUGCAAGAUUUAUGAGAUCCACUCAUGAACAUAGUGUAUUUUAAACACACGUUGCUUUUAAAUGUGUUGAUUUCCUAGCUAAACGAAUCUCUUUCAUACACCAACCUCGCAGCAAAAAAAAAAAAUAAAUAAAACAAAAUUUCACGUUCAGACCAUCGUGCGAGGGGCAUCAAGAUUUUGAGUGAACAGUUUGAACUAGCAGCUUUCUUUUUUUUUUUUCAAGAUUUUAUUUUUAUUUAUGUGACAGAGAGAGACAGCCAGCGAGAGAGGGAACACAGCAGGGGAGUGGGAGAGGAAGAAGCAGGCUCCCAGCGGAGGAGCCCGAUGUGGGACUCGAUCCCAGGACUCUGGGAUCACGCACUGAGCCGAAGGCAGAUGCUUAACGACUGUGCUACCCAGGCGCCCCUGAACUAGCAGCUUUCUAGUAGUGAAUGCCAGGAGCCUGUUGCAUAAUGGACAAUAUGAAUGUUACAAAUUUGGGAAGCAGAUGGAUGAGGGAGCAAUUUGACUUUGCAACUCAAGCUUCUAGUUGAGAAAACGAUAAAUUAGGUUCUGUGUCAGAAUGUGUAACUCUUCAGGGAAUAUUAUUUUCAUGUUUACUCAAGGUUAACAAGAUCUCUUUGCUAAAUAUAAUCCUUUUCUUAAGAGUGAAAUCUGUGACCUGCAUCCUACAGGUGCGUAAUGUGUACUCAUUGAUAGAAAUUAGAACAGUGGGAAUAGAACACAUACUGGAGAAUGGGACGAGUAAGAACCUAAGAAAAUCACUUAGGAAAGUCUCAUUCUUGUAUGUUUUACAAACCAGGCCACAUUUCCCACCUUUUCAGCCCCUCUCCGCACCCUCAUUUUCACUUCCUUUGCCCCCCUGUACUUCCUCCUCCACCAUUCUUUAGAAAAUCAGAGAUGGGCUAAAUGAACCCUCAACAGGUAAUUAUCAAACAAUGUAAGAAGUGCACAGACAAAUGUAGAUGACAUAUGAAAAGUCUCAAGGGCAGCAUUAGGAAAAAAGUGUCCAAAGUCUAAGAAAGACAUUCCCAGGGAAAUCAUUGCAGGGAAAAUAUUAUCAAAUUGACAAGUAAAGUAACAGUUUUCCAGGAAGAAAAUUCUCAGGGAGAACAUUGCCAGCAGAGUGGAAAGCACAUGUGAGGGUACGGAAUGUUGCUCCAUUGGGAAAUUAUGCCAGUCUGGAAGCACUGGAUGAGAGGUGUGAAGUAGGAGAGAGUGGGAGCUGAGGUUGGGAGUGGGGAGGAGGAGGCCGGGGGGGGGGCCAGGUUGAGGAGCAAUUCUGUGCCAUGUCAAGGGAGGGUUAGCAUUGAUGCUCUAGGUUAUUGCUCUAAAGUUAUUGAAUACUUGCAAACAGGAUAGUGACAUCUUCAAGUAUGUAGUUUAGAAUAAUUCUCAGGGCAAUAUAAAAUCUGGCUGAUAGACAAAGAAAUUAUUUAGAAGGCUUUUCAAUUGACUAGAAGAAAAAAUGAUAAGAACAGUGCCAGAAACAGUGGCAGGGAGAACAGAGACAAAUGAGUGGAUUCAGGAGCUCUUUCAGAGAGAAAAUCUUAGAAAAUACAGGAUGAAGGGAAUGAAGAAGAAAUACACAUCAGGAAUAAAUCCCAGGUCAGGUAGAUGAAUCACGGUGCUCUUAUUUGAUAAAGAAAAAAAAAGAUAUUUUCGAAUUACUGAGUUUUAGGAGCCUGUAGGAAGUUCAGAUGGAGAUGUCUAGUAGGAUGUCAAAUGUAGGGUUCUGGAACUCAUGAGCAAAUCUGGGCUGGAUACACGACAUGGACACAAAUAGGGCUGCAGAGGUCCAAGGGGUGAGCUGACGUGACCAAAGGAGCAAAGCGCUUGGUAGCAAAGAGCAGAUGAUUAUUUGCUUAACGAAAAAACAAUAUUUUAUAAAUGCUUAUUUCUUGAUUUUUGUUUUAUUUUUUAGGUAAGCUUUAAAUUUAGGUUGUUUAGGCUUAAUCACAGAGCUGAAUCUGUGCCCAGAAGAGCACUAGUAAAACAAUAAUAUAACUUUAGAGAGAUAAAUGAAUUCAUAUGUAUUUAUAGAAGGGUUAAAUGUGGCAAGUGCGUAUUUUUCAGAAAACAGACGCUUUUCAGCAUCUGAGUAUUGAAUCUGCAAAACUUCUAAUACUGAAUAGCGUCCGAGAUCAAGUAGGAAAAUGUACUUAUGUUUCUUUGCCCUUUCAAGGUAUAGUUUUAAAAAUUAUAUGAUCAUUGUAUGAGCCCUCUCUAAUAAUAGAGCAAUUAUGUCAAGAAUCCCUUUGUAUGACUUAUGGCUUUUUUGACACCUAAUACUAUUGUAACUUAGUAACACAGAUUUUAAAGUUGUCUGCCUCAGGUGUACUAAUUAAUACUAAAAUAAAGUUGUUACUUUAGAAGAAAUGGAGAGUUUUGGUGUUUUUUUAAAUAAAAUCAAAAUAUUCUUACAUCUCUUGCAAGAAAAUAAUGAAUAAUUAAUUAUGCUUG